Molecule: long non-coding RNA, 368 nt
Filed under: Phoenix dactylifera (date palm)
Lineage: Eukaryota; Viridiplantae; Streptophyta; Magnoliopsida; Arecales; Arecaceae
Description: long non-coding RNA (PDAC_LNC017235)
Source: RNAcentral
AAGUUAUAAGACUAACGGACUGGACUCUGAUAGCAGGAAGAGUUUCAUUCAUAUUUGGCUUUUGGAUUUUUUUUGUAUGAUAAGUAUCAAAGAAAAUGUGGCAAAAUAGAAGCCCAACCUAAUAUGAUAUUCUAUAGUGCCCACACUUGUUCCGUGGCUGCGCUAAAAAUAGCGUAAUGAUAAAAAAAUCUUCUUAAAUUUCUGGAAACCAAUGGAGGAUCCGGCGGUCCUCCCCGAUGCCAGAAUGUUGGUGAUACAACGGUGGAAUUAGCGGCAGAGGUUGGGCUGUCCCCAUUUAAAACUUUCAUCUAUUUUUCUUUUUGCAAUUUAAGCUCAUGAAGCUCAUAGGAGUAGUUCAUUAAAAUUUU